CGAUCGAUGAUGACACCCUUGUAUGAAUUCCUUGGAAAAUCUGAACAAAAUGAGUAAGAACACUCUACCAUAUCCUCAUUGAAACUGAGGUCC
Molecule: small nucleolar RNA, 93 nt
Filed under: Physeter macrocephalus (sperm whale)
Lineage: Eukaryota; Metazoa; Chordata; Mammalia; Artiodactyla; Physeteridae
Description: Physeter catodon (sperm whale) Small nucleolar RNA SNORD116 (ENSPCTG00005008943.1)
Rfam family: Small nucleolar RNA SNORD116
About the family: HBII-85 is a member of the C/D class of snoRNAs, which contain the C (UGAUGA) and D (CUGA) box motifs. HBII-85 is encoded in a tandemly repeated array with another C/D snoRNA, HBII-52, in the Prader-Willi syndrome (PWS) region of chromosome 15. Unlike most other snoRNAs, HBII-85 is expressed prevalently in the brain (but is absent in PWS patients) and lacks any significant complementarity with ribosomal RNA.
Source: Rfam by way of RNAcentral